RNAcentral lists this ribosomal RNA (253 nucleotides) under uncultured bacterium. Its description in RNAcentral is "partial 16S ribosomal RNA". It matches the Rfam family "Bacterial small subunit ribosomal RNA", at positions 524 to 776 of the family's 1533-position model. The record is from RNAcentral.
UACGUAGGGUGCGAGCGUUGUCCGGAAUUAUUGGGCGUAAAGAGCUCGUAGGCGGUGUGUCGCGUCGGCCGUGAAAACCUGCAGCUUAACUGUGGGCUUGCGGUCGAUACGGGCAGGCUAGAGUUCGGUAGGGGAGACUGGAAUUCCUGGUGUAGCGGUGAAAUGCGCAGAUAUCAGGAGGAACACCGGUGGCGAAGGCGGGUCUCUGGGCCGAUACUGACGCUGAGGAGCGAAAGCGUGGGGAGCGAACAGG